AGCUGUUUGGGGACUACAAGGCCCACCAUCCCUGACCACUGGUCCCGUGAGCUGGGGAUGGUGGGAGUUGUAGUCCCCAAACAGCU
Molecule: non-coding RNA, 86 nt
Organism: Podarcis lilfordi (Lilford's wall lizard)
Lineage: Eukaryota; Metazoa; Chordata; Lepidosauria; Squamata; Lacertidae
Source: the annotation of a GenBank genome assembly